UUCCGGUUGAUCCCGCCGGACCUGACUGCUAUCGGAUUGAUACUAAGCCAUGCGAGUCUUUGCAGUAAUGCAAGGCACACGGCUCAGUAACACGUAGUCAACUUACCCUAUGGACGAGGAUAAUCUCGGGAAACUGAGCAUAAUACUCGAUAGAUCAUAAUGCCUGGAAUGGUUUAUGGUUGAAAUGAUUCGUCGCCAUAGGAUGGGACUGCGGCCUAUCAGCUUGUUGGUGAGGUAAUGGCCCACCAAGGCGAUUACAGGUACGGGCUCUGAGAGGAGAAGCCCGGAGAUGGGUACUGAGACAAGGACCCAGGCCCUAUGGGGCGCAGCAGGCGAGAAAACUUUGCAAUGUGCGAAAGCACGACAAGGUUAAUCCGAGUGAUUUCUGCUAAAGAAAUCUUUUGCAAGUCAUAAAACCACUAGUGAAUAAGGGGUGGGCAAGUUCUGGUGUCAGCCGCCGCGGUAAAACCAGCACCUCAAGUGGUCAGGAGGAUUAUUGGGCCUAAAGCAUCCGUAGCCGGCUCUGUAAGUUUUCGGUUAAAUCCAUGUGCUCAACAUAUGGGCUGCCGAAAAUACUGCAUAGCUAGGGAGUGGGAGAGGUAGACGGUACUCGGUAGGAAGGGGUAAAAUCCUUUGAUCUAUCGAUGACCACCUGUGGCGAAGGCGG
Molecule: ribosomal RNA, 667 nt
Filed under: uncultured archaeon
Lineage: Archaea
Description: bacterial SSU rRNA
Rfam family: Archaeal small subunit ribosomal RNA
Source: RNAcentral